This is an RNA transcript of Malus domestica (apple), 2289 nucleotides long. It is a transcript of the gene named protein THYLAKOID ASSEMBLY 8-like, chloroplastic, with no coding region annotated. The record is from RefSeq and is a predicted model, not a curated record. Lineage: Eukaryota; Viridiplantae; Streptophyta; Magnoliopsida; Rosales; Rosaceae.
CAUACUUAAAUUUUUUUAAUUUUUCUCUCUUUUCGGGAACAUGAAAACAUAAGAAGGUUUCUAUCUACGACCGUAAAGCCCUAUGCCAAACCCCCAGCGCCCCACUCUCCUUCUUUCAUUUGGAGCAGCAGUAGCUUCUCAUUUCCCAAACAAAACCUGCAUCAGUCUCACUGACCAACUCGAUCCCUUCAUCACCCUCACUGCGGAUCACCAAUUCGUCCCCUUCAUCAAACCUCCAAUGGCGACUCGUGCAUUUUCGCGAUCAAAGUUCGCAUUUUUCUCUUCAAUACUCCUUCAAAACCUGAAAACAACGCCCAUCAAGUCGACCCCAAUGCUUCUAAAAUCCACAGAACUUGAACUCGAGUCCUGGAGAUCCAUUCGUGGGCUGAGGCUGUAUCACGACGGGAGGCCCAGAGGACCGCUCUGGAGGGUCAAAAAGCUGAUCGGCAAAGAAGCGCUUUUCGUAAUCUCGGGUUUGAAGCGGUUCGAGGACGACGAAGAGAUGCUCGGGAAGUUUGUAAAUACCCCCGUUUUGAGACUGUUGAAGAUGGAUAUGAUUGUUGUUCUCACUGAGCUCAAGCGCCAGGAAGAAGUCGCUUUGGCAAUUAAGUUGUGCUGUGUGAAUCCACUUAUGUGUUGUUAGUUUACAGUCGUUGCGAAAUGGGGCUCCGUGGGUUGCACGCUAUGUAUUUGGUUGAAUGCCUGACUCAAUGUGUGAUCUUGGGCACCUUCAGUAAUGCUUUGUCAAUACAGUAUUAGAAGCAAUGCUUAGCUUUAGUAUAAGUGUUUCUGGGUCUUCCCGUUAGUAGUGCAGGUUCAUGGUGUAUGGUAAAGCGCGAUCGGAGUGACGUGGUUUUCGUGGCCAAAUCCAUCUUUUGACUCAAGACGGGCAUUUUUUUCACUUGUAGUUAUAGGUGCUAGGACAGCUCUUUGGAUUUGGAAAUAGCUAGUAAUGGUGAAAUGUUGAAAUCUCAUUCAUGAGAGUCACAUUACAGGUAUGCUGUGGUUUUGCACAAUGGUGAAAUGUUGAAACCCAACUCUUCAAAUACACAAUGGUGCUUUCCUUAUUCGUUGUUUCCUGUGUUAAAUGCCGAACCACAUUACAGGUAUGCUGUGGUUUUGCAGACUUGUUUAUCAGAGUACAUUUAGACCAUUAUUUGGAAUGAAUUCCUUCUAGACUGCACAUCUUUAUUUCUGUUUAACUACAUAUGCAAUGAACAUAUAUGUCUUUGUUUAUUGGAAUUACAAGCAACUUGGUGAAUUUUGGGGUAUUUAAUGUUAUUCGAAAGCAAGACUGGUACAAACCGGAUGUCUAUCUGUAUUAGGACUUAAUUAUUGCAUUAGCAAGAUCUAAGAAAAUGGAGGAUGUUAUGCUACUGUGCGACAGCAUGAAAAAGGAGGAUCUGUUUCCUGAUUCUCAAACAUAUACAGAAGUUGUCAGGGGUUUUUUGAACUCUGGUUGUCCUGCAGAUGCAAUGAACAUUUAUGAGGACAUGAAGCAGUCUCCAGAUCCGCCGGAGGAUCUAAGAAAAAAUUGUUUCUUCUCCCUCUUUCCUUUGGCUGCAGCAGAACUUGUAACUUAAUUUGCAGCCAUGACUGCUCCUCCUCCCCCACAGCCCAGACUUGGGUGGUUCACAUGGCCACUCAUUCAAGCUUUUGGAUGGUCCAAGAUCACUCUGGUCCCUUAAAGGUGUGUUUGUUUGCACUUACUGUCUUUCACUGGACUAAGUUCCCUUGCUAAUAGGUCUUAGCGAGACCCCCCCCCCCCCCGAUUCGGAGAGAACUGCUAAGCCACCUUGUAAUCCCGUGAUCUCCCUUCUCCGUCGUACAUUCGCACAUCAACCGUAGCAGUAGCUUGCUCCCUCGUGCCUUCGCACCUUCGCCCCUUCCCUUCUCCUUCCUUGUCGCACCACCUCGUAGUCGCCCAACAUAUAAACAAUCGACAACGGACCUGUAUUGCUGGCGAUGGUCUUCGUUUGGUGCUUUCUGUCGCGUCAUGAAAUCGGAGUCCUAGCAGUUGAAGGAAAAGAAGACGAACAAGUUUGCCUUGGAUUUGGGUGCCCUAGCUUUCUGAUUUCUAAAUUCAUUUGGGUUUUCUGGUCUUUCAUGUCGAUCUCUGUUGAAUUGUAGUUGGGUUAAUUUUCUUUUGAUGGGUUAGUGGAUUGGAUUGCCAUCUUAAACCCUAGAUUUUGCUUUAUUUGAAAUUUACAACUCUAAUUGGGGUUGGGUUUUCAGAAUAUCUUCCAUUUCUGUUUUUUCAUGUUGAAUUUCAGUAAUUUUCCUUCAUAU